RNAcentral lists this transfer RNA (73 nucleotides) under Daphnia pulex (common water flea). RNAcentral's name for it is "tRNA-Leu". It matches the Rfam family "tRNA". Rfam says of the family: Transfer RNA (tRNA) molecules are approximately 80 nucleotides in length. Lineage: Eukaryota; Metazoa; Arthropoda; Branchiopoda; Diplostraca; Daphniidae. The record is from RNAcentral.
GGUAGCGUGGCCGAGCGGUCCAAGGCGCUGGUUUAAGGCUUCGGGGGCAUGGGUUCGAAUCCCAUCGCUGCCA